ACAUGUCUCUGCUAUUUCGUUAAUGUGAUCAUGUAGCACUCUAGUUAUUGUAAUAAGAGAUUGGGAGGUAUUGAAGAUACCCAUCCAUGGUGUGAGCUUGAAGAAAUUCUCCAGGGUGAAUAUGCUUCUAGAGGUGGUUAAGAUACUCAUUGUACCUGUUGUGAGUACAAAAUUAAUAUAUGUCUUUUCUAUGAUAUUCUAAGCUCACAAAAAUAUAUGUCUUUUCUAUAA
Vicia villosa (hairy vetch) is the source of this 231-nucleotide long non-coding RNA. RefSeq lists it as uncharacterized. NCBI's taxonomy places the organism in Eukaryota, Viridiplantae, Streptophyta, Magnoliopsida, Fabales, Fabaceae. The transcript has 2 exons. The record is from RefSeq and is a predicted model, not a curated record.